UGACGCGGCAGGACUGGCUGGGCGGGCGCGGGCCGCCUCACCGCACCUCACCGCGCCGCGCCUCGGCGGGGAGGGCGGGCGGCCGCGCCUCCCUACCUGGGCAGCUGCCGCCGCCGCCUCUUCCUCCGGCCGAGCCCUGCCGGGCCUUUGCUCCCCGGCCGCGGCAGCCUUUGCUGGAGGCAGCUCUGCUGUGGGUGCCCAGCGAAGUGUGAGCCACAGAACAACUUCACUGCAAGAGCUUCACUGGGGAGCAUGACCAGUUUAGGUCUGUCUGUAUCCUGUGGAUGGCUCUUCAGGCAAAAAAAGGAUAUUGCUAAUUCUAAAGCAGCAGCACAAAGUAGUUGAAAAGACCAGAAAGUGGCUAGAGAAGAAUUCCACUUACACAGGAUGAAUCCCUCGAUAACGGACAAAUCCCACCGCAGCUUCAUGGAAACUUUUCUUCAGCAUCCAAUCUGUUGAAAUUCCUGAGCAAAACAAGAGCCCUAAGUUUGCUCCUGAGUUAGUCAGAGCUGUGGGCACCGUCCCCCGAGGCGGUGGGGAGCAGCAGAGGAAUCGGGGCAGCGCCGGAGCUUGGAUUCUGUUUGAUGUUGAGGCUGGUGUGACUCACGCUGUGAUCCAGCCUUCACUGCAGCUGCCCCGGAGUUCUGGGUCUGAAGACGGAGCUCCCUGUCUGCUGCCCAGCCUGGAGCAUGGCUGCAGCU
Long non-coding RNA from Calidris pugnax (ruff), 701 nucleotides. RefSeq lists it as uncharacterized. The transcript is spliced from 3 exons. Lineage: Eukaryota; Metazoa; Chordata; Aves; Charadriiformes; Scolopacidae. The record is from RefSeq and is a predicted model, not a curated record.